Molecule: long non-coding RNA, 912 nt
Organism: Neodiprion fabricii
Lineage: Eukaryota; Metazoa; Arthropoda; Insecta; Hymenoptera; Diprionidae
Exons: 2
Source: RefSeq, a predicted model, not a curated record
AGCAUAUCGGACUCCACCUAACCCUGCCCAACCAGCCAUAUCAACCAAAUGAAGAGAAUCAUUUUCUGAGACCAACUUCACAAACGUUUCUUUGUGUUCAACAGUUGCCAACAGAAUCUCCUGCAGAGGCAUGCAACAACAUUGUCGAUAUCCUCGCUCGUCGGAGGUUUGUCUGGGUAUUCUAUAGGACAAAUUCGGAUCGCAACACCGUGCUGUUCAAUUUCGCAUAAUUCUAUUUGCACAUUUUCAACAUCACGUGGCAGAGUUUGACCGAGCCAAGAAUUCAAUUUGUCAUAAUAAGGCGGUACGCGUUCCGUUGCUUGCGGAUCACGAUCUGCAGGUAUAAAUUGCAGUACUAGGGAACUGGCCACUAUUUCGUACAACUGAGGACUCCCAAUCGGAUUCGUCAAUAAUUCAUUUAUCGUGUACGAUCCGGUUUCUCCACCUGGUGUUUGACUCUAGAAUGAAUCCCUAAAGUAGUUAUUUCUCAGAGAAGAUAAUUUAAAUCAUACUUUCAUGUUAGAAUUCAUUGAAUGAAAUUAUAGGUACUGUAAUGCAAUUAACAAUAUGUGAGUUGUGACAAUUUUUUUCCAACAAAAUGAUAAAGGAUCAGUGUAUUACCAAUAACCUGAUGCAAUUGAAUUUCUUGAUUUUAUUGUAGAGUUCUUCAACUGCUAAAAAACACUGCUUAAAUCUAUUCUGAAUCCCAUCUCGACCCAGUGCUUGUAAGGCAGCCCAUAAUGGUAACGUCGGUAGACGUCGUGAUAACGAGUCUGACAUUAGACCUGACACCAACGAGAGUGUCGUAUCUCUGGGUGUUGGCCGACCGCCUUUGGUAUCAGUCAACCUGUACAAUGUCUAUUUAUAAGAUUAAGGGAUGAAAUGUAGUAGAAUUUCUUUUGUGCCCUGGUA